Molecule: RNA transcript, 1263 nt
Organism: Budorcas taxicolor (takin)
Lineage: Eukaryota; Metazoa; Chordata; Mammalia; Artiodactyla; Bovidae
Gene: ADAT2
Gene name: adenosine deaminase tRNA specific 2
Exons: 3
Source: RefSeq, a predicted model, not a curated record
CCUCUGAUGCUGGGGGAGACAGCCCGGGUGCAGCAGUAUGGAGGCGAAGGCGGGGUCCACCGCGGCUACCGAAGGCGCGUACUCGGUGUCUGCGGAGGAGACCGAAAAGUGGAUGGAGCAGGCGAUGCAAAUGCAUCAAGGUCUUUUCCAGUGAGUCGACUCUUUGCAUCAGAUGGCCAAAGUAUUGGAGCUUCAGCUUCACAACAGUCCUUCCAAUGAAUAUUCAGAGUUGGUUUCCUUUAGAAAUGAGUGGUUUGAUCUCCUUGCUGAACAAGGGACUGCUGAACAAGAGCUUUUUCUAACACCACAAUUUGAAAACAUAUCAGAGUACACCAUGUAAAAUGCUGGGCUGGAUGAAGCACAAGCUGAAAUCAAGAUUGCCCGGAGAAAUUUCAACAACCUCAGAUGUGCAGAUGAUACCAGCCUAAUGGAAGAAAGUGAAGAGGAAUUAAAGAACCUCAUGACGAGGGUGAAAGUUGAGAGUGAAAAAGCUAGCUUAAGAUUCAACAUUCAAAAAACUGAGACCAUGUCAUUCAGUCCCAUCACUUCAUGAUAAACAGAAGGGGAAAAAGUGAAAGCAGUGACAGAUUUUAUAUUCUUAGGCCCCAAAAUCACUGUGGACAGUGACUGCAACUAUGAUAUUAAAAGACCCUUACUCCUUGGAGAAAAGCUAUGACAAACCUAGACAAUGUAUUAAAAAGCAGAGACAUCACUUUGCCAACAAUGGUCCCUAUAGUCAAAACUAGGGUUUUUCCAGGAGUCCUAUAUGGAUGUGAGAGUUGGAUCAUAAAAAAGGCUGAGCACCGAGGAGUUGAAUCUUUCAAACUGUGGUGCUGGAGGAGACUCUUGAGAGUCGCUUGGACAGCAAGGAGAUCCAACCAGUCCAUCCUAAAGGAAAUCAACUCCGAAUAUUCACUGGAAGGACUGAUGCUGAAGCUGAAGCUCCAAUACUUUGGCCACCUGAUGCAAAGGGCCGACUCGUUGGAAAAGACGUGAUGUUGGAAAAAAUUGAAGGCAAAAGAAGGGAGGGGUAGAGAAUGAGAUGGUUAGAUGGCAUCACUGACUCAGAGGAUGUGAAUUUGAGCGAACUCUAGGAGGUAGUGCAGGACAGGGGAGCCUGGCAUGCUGCAGUCCAUGGGGUUGGGAAGAGUCAGACACGACUUAGUGACUGAACAACAGCAGCAGCAUGGAAGUAGAUCCCACGUGCUGCAAUUAACGAAUUUGCGUGCUACCACUAAAACAUUCUGUGUGCUGCAGAUAAGA